RNAcentral lists this ribosomal RNA (700 nucleotides) under Streptomyces sp. KP86. RNAcentral's name for it is "bacterial SSU rRNA". It matches the Rfam family "Bacterial small subunit ribosomal RNA", at positions 88 to 802 of the family's 1533-position model. The record is from RNAcentral. Lineage: Bacteria; Bacillati; Actinomycetota; Actinomycetes; Kitasatosporales; Streptomycetaceae.
UGGAUUAGUGGCGAACGGGUGAGUAACACGUGGGCAAUCUGCCCUUCACUCUGGGACAAGCCCUGGAAACGGGGUCUAAUACCGGAUACGACCUGCCUCCGCAUGGGGGUGGGUGGAAAGCUCCGGCGGUGAAGGAUGAGCCCGCGGCCUAUCAGCUUGUUGGUGGGGUAAUGGCCUACCAAGGCGACGACGGGUAGCCGGCCUGAGAGGGCGACCGGCCACACUGGGACUGAGACACGGCCCAGACUCCUACGGGAGGCAGCAGUGGGGAAUAUUGCACAAUGGGCGAAAGCCUGAUGCAGCGACGCCGCGUGAGGGAUGACGGCCUUCGGGUUGUAAACCUCUUUCAGCAGGGAAGAAGCGAGAGUGACGGUACCUGCAGAAGAAGCGCCGGCUAACUACGUGCCAGCAGCCGCGGUAAUACGUAGGGCGCAAGCGUUGUCCGGAAUUAUUGGGCGUAAAGAGCUCGUAGGCGGCUUGUUGCGUCGGAUGUGAAAGCCCGGGGCUUAACCCCGGGUCUGCAUUCGAUACGGGCAGGCUAGAGUGUGGUAGGGGAGAUCGGAAUUCCUGGUGUAGCGGUGAAAUGCGCAGAUAUCAGGAGGAACACCGGUGGCGAAGGCGGAUCUCUGGGCCAUUACUGACGCUGAGGAGCGAAAGCGUGGGGAGCGAACAGGAUUAGAUACCCUGGUAGUCCACGCCG